UAAGUGAAUUCUCUACCUUCGGU
This 23-nucleotide microRNA is filed under the name Caenorhabditis briggsae. Its description in RNAcentral is "cbr-miR-785b". Its record names the gene cbr-miR-785b. Lineage: Eukaryota; Metazoa; Nematoda; Chromadorea; Rhabditida; Rhabditidae. The record is from miRBase by way of RNAcentral.